CCAAAGAAAAGGAUAUCCAAUAAGUUUACUUUCAUCUGCAACAAGAAAUGGGUUCAUUUCAUACCAGACAACACAAGAGUGGUGCAGCAGGCGUCAAGUGGAACAAGUUACAGACCACAAAAAAAUAAUGGGCAAUUGAGCGAGCAAAUUAUUGAGGCACUGUUGCAAUUGUGUGCUCGUCUUGCUGGCAUUCAGCACUGGAAACUUUUCAGAAACAAAAUUGUGAACCAAGACAGGUAAUUUCGACAAGCAUCAGCUAAGAGUAUAUUAUAAGGCGCGCCUCGACAUCUAAUUCAGACCUUAUAGCCGGUUAAGGUGAAUCCUCUGCCUGCAAUCUCGCCUACGCAGAACCAUGCAUAAAGCUCAACCCCAAACAGUGUUGCAAUUCCAAGGUCCUCCACCUUGAGCUCCUUCCUGUUCUUCCAAAGCUGCUUGACACCGUCAACCUCCUUCCACAAUGCUUCAUAGCGGCCUGGUAGACUGAAGAAAACAGCAAAUAUAUAUACAAGCCACUGAUCAGACUCCAGAGAACAAAGGAAUGGCUUAAGCACAAUAGAAAACAUUCACCGCGGCAAGGAAAAACAAGCAAAAUUCCUUGCACUGAUCAGCAUAGAUGUGCAUAAUCAAAUUACGGCUCAUGAAAGAUAUAGUGUUGCACCCCAUUUGAAGAUGGCAAACACGUAAAUAUACAAAAUGGAGAACCAGGCCUAAGGGGAACUAGCCCAUGUGGCUUAGUAUUGAUUAUGAAGAACAGCCAUGACCACUACUGCGGAGACCAGGCCUUGAACGUGGGCUUCCCAUGCAAUCACACCACUGGCCAACUGAAGCCCGGUUCUCAACACAGAAAAAUACACGUUUAGUCCUCUCCUACAAGUGCAGCCAUAGUCUGGUCUUCCUACCACACACAACAACUAAUCACUAUUGUACCGCGUACCAUCUGGAAGUUGCAUUACCAAGGUAAACAUGCCUCAUGGCACAGCAUUUGCCACAAUGUCAAAUAAAAAUCUGUGGUAGGGAAUGCAAGUUGGAAAACAAUGUAUUGAACAGUUCAAAUUGGCAAACAAUCUUGAUUAAUCAUAUGUGUCAAACUAAACCGCUGGUUAAGACAUCGUUAAAGCAAUAUAUGAAUGUAUCAAUCAUGAUUCAACUGGUGAUGUAAGUUUGCUUGAAACCGAACUCAGCUAGUUCGCUGGUUCAACAAAACAAGGUUAUGGCCAGGUCAAGUGUCCAUCCCAUCCUAUAUGUCAAACUACUAGAGUGAAGUUCAUAAUAUGUCCAAGAAUGACCACAUGAAUCUGGAUUAUAUAACCACUCAUGGAUACCUCAAAAUGUAAACAACAACAGCAACAAACAACACAUAACCAGAAUGCGGAUACACUUGACUGAGGUUGCACUUUUUGCACAAAGUAGCUAAUAAGACCAAAGAUUCAAAACAUACACAAGUCAAGAAGCAACAAAACUCAAGGUUUUACUAUGUCAGUCAGUCAAACCUGCCUAUACAUGCAGAAAUAUCCUACACUGUUCCUGCCAAUAACUCAGAUCAGCAUGAUAUUUUGAUGGAAUAUUUGCAGGCAACAGUUGAAUCGAUUUCUUUGCAAACAUGCAGAAAAAUGGCAAAUGGUUCACAGAGAGCUAUAUGUGCUAAGACUCACUUCUCGAAUAUCAUACAUAGUAGAUUACCUUUUAUUUAUGAUAUAUCAACUUCACAAGAGACUAUGCUUUCACCUAAACAAUCGUCCUUUAUGCUACAUCUGUGAUGUCUCCAUUCAACAUGGGUCAAAGAAAAAUAUAAAAACAUAGCAACAAAACAAAGCUGCACAGGUGAUCAAGCAUAAGGAUGACAUAAAAUGUUUCCAUUAUGAUUGAAAUCACAAACUUGUGCCAACUAACAGGACAGACAUAUUUCCCUCACACAAGUGGGUACCUUGCAUGACUUGCAGAAUUGUGAUUUAUCCAUUAAAACCAAUUAUUGAACAUAGCAUAUCUUGUUAGAUUGAAGUGACAGUUAUCAUUUCAAGGAACAAAGGUGCAUCUCCAUCCACAUACAAACUUUAGCAAUCAUAAAUAGUGUUCUACAAGAGGGUCAUCCAGUUAGGAGUAGGUGACACUGCCACAACACGCACACCUAGCUAAAUUGCUCUGUCCUGGUAGCUGCCUAGAGUAAGCAUCAUGUGAACAAUUAGCAUAGUCCCAGCCUAGCAAAACAUAAGAACCGUCUCACAGUCACAAAAAAAGAGAGCAUAAACCCCAGCUAACCGGAAAUUGCUGACGUAGCAAUGGUCUUCCCCCAACCACUCAGAUUUGAGCUACAUUGUAGAUGGCACAUACAAGAGAUCUCCAAGAUUUCCGUAUGCUAAAGUUCAUAAAUAGUGCAGAAAGUGAAGAACUAUGCAAUCGCUCAAUCCCCCAGUCACAAGUGGCGGUGGCUAUACAUUGAACACUUCAUAUCUAAUUUAUGUAAAGAAGUUUGUAUCCACCAAAUACAUCGAUCACUCACCCUAGAAGGCCACACAUUGCCACAGCCACGAGUGGACCACCCCAUACUACGAUCCAGUUCAGCUAGGCAGGCAGUAAUAGAGAUAGUAGGCAAUUACGGGGCAAACCUCAACCACACCAUGGUCACCCCCGUUGCUACGAGCACAAGCAGAUCCACUGAUACUGCGCAAGAGCCCCGAUUGGAACCACGCCACAUGUACAGACGGUUGGACACAUAAAUCAUUUAUUUAGGGGCUUUACCUCGCGAGGCGCGUGUAGAAGAGCUGC
This 2763-nucleotide long non-coding RNA is filed under the name Triticum aestivum (bread wheat). RNAcentral describes it as "long non-coding RNA (TAES_LNC025713)". Lineage: Eukaryota; Viridiplantae; Streptophyta; Magnoliopsida; Poales; Poaceae. The record is from RNAcentral.